RNAcentral lists this transfer RNA (73 nucleotides) under Acanthothecis fontana. RNAcentral's name for it is "tRNA-Val". It matches the Rfam family "tRNA". Rfam says of the family: Transfer RNA (tRNA) molecules are approximately 80 nucleotides in length. Their secondary structure includes four short double-helical elements and three loops (D, anti-codon, and T loops). The record is from RNAcentral. Lineage: Eukaryota; Fungi; Ascomycota; Lecanoromycetes; Ostropales; Graphidaceae.
AAGAGAUUAGCUUAAUUGGUAGAGCAAUCGUUUUACACACGAUAGGUUAAGUGUUCAAGUCACUUAUUUCUUA